GAACGCUGGCGGCAGGCCUAACACAUGCAAGUCGAACGGUAACAGGACACAGCUUGCUGUUUCGCUGACGAGUGGCGGACGGGUGAGUAAUGUCUGGGAAACUGCCUGAUGGAGGGGGAUAACUACUGGAAACGGUAGCUAAUACCGCAUAACGUCGCAAGACCAAAGAGGGGGACCUUCGGGCCUCUUGCCAUCGGAUGUGCCCAGAUGGGAUUAGCUAGUAGGUGGGGUAACGGCUCACCUAGGCGACGAUCCCUAGCUGGUCUGAGAGGAUGACCAGCCACACUGGAACUGAGACACGGUCCAGACUCCUACGGGAGGCAGCAGUGGGGAAUAUUGCACAAUGGGCGCAAGCCUGAUGCAGCCAUGCCGCGUGUAUGAAGAAGGCCUUCGGGAUGUAAAGUACUUUCAGCGGGGAGGAAGGGAGUAAAGUUAAUACCUUUACUCAUUGACGUUACCCGCAGAAGAAGCACCGGCUAACUCCGUG
This 487-nucleotide ribosomal RNA is filed under the name uncultured bacterium. RNAcentral's name for it is "partial 16S ribosomal RNA". It matches the Rfam family "Bacterial small subunit ribosomal RNA", at positions 31 to 507 of the family's 1533-position model. The record is from RNAcentral.